This 915-nucleotide ribosomal RNA is filed under the name uncultured archaeon. RNAcentral's name for it is "bacterial SSU rRNA". It matches the Rfam family "Archaeal small subunit ribosomal RNA", at positions 1 to 921 of the family's 1478-position model. The record is from RNAcentral.
UUCCGGUUGAUCCUGCCGGAGGUCACUGCUAUUGGGAUUCGACUAAGCCAUGCGAGUCGAGAGGGUUCGGCCCUCGGCUGACGGCUCAGUAACACGUGGAUAAUCUGCCCUAAGGUGGAGGAUAACCUCGGGAAACUGAGAAUAAUACUCCAUAGGUCUAAGAUACUGGAAUGUACUUAGGCUUAAAACUCCGGUGCCUUAGGAUGAGUCUGCGGACUAUCAGGUUGUAGUCAGGGUAAAGACCUGACUAGCCUACGACGGAUAUGGGUUGUGGGAGCAAUAACCCAGAGAUGAUAUCUUAGACACGAUAUCAGGCCCUACGGGGCGCAGCAGGCGCGAAAACUUCACACUGUACGAAAGUGCGAUGAGGGAAUCCCAAGUGUAUGCACGUAAGUGUAUACUGUUUCUUUGUUUAAAAUGCAUAGAGAGUAAGGGCUGGGUAAGACGGGUGCCAGCCGCCGCGGUAAUACCUGCAGCUCAAGUGGUGAUCAUUAUUAUUGGGCCUAAAACGUCCGUAGCCGGUUUAGUAAAUGCCUGGGUAAAUCGUGUAGCUUAACUAUACGACUUCCGGGUAGACUGCUAAGCUUGAGAUCGGGAGAGGCUAGAGGUACUCCUAAGGUAGAGGUGAAAUUCUGUAAUCCUGGGGGGACCACCAGUGGCGAAGGCGUCUAGCUAGAACGAGUCUGACGGUGAGGGACGAAGCCCUGGGGCGCGAACCGGAUUAGAUACCCGGGUAGUCCAGGGUGUAAACGCUGCUUGCUUGAUGUUAGUCGGGCUCCGAGCCCGAUUAGUGUCGGAGAGAGGUUGUUAAGCAAGCUGCCUGGGAAGUACGGUCGCAAGACUGAAACUUAAAGGGAAUUGGCGGGGGAGCACAGCAACAGGUGGAGCGUGCGGUUUAAUUGGACUCAACGCCGG